Molecule: transfer RNA, 76 nt
Filed under: Spartobacteria bacterium
Lineage: Bacteria; Pseudomonadati; Verrucomicrobiota; Spartobacteria
Description: tRNA-Glu
Rfam family: tRNA
About the family: Transfer RNA (tRNA) molecules are approximately 80 nucleotides in length.
Source: RNAcentral
GGCCCUAUCGUCUAGUGGUCUAGGACACCAGAUUCUCAAUCUGGGAACACGGGUUCGAUCCCCGUUAGGGCUGCCA